GGCUGGUCUGAGUGCAGUGGUGUUUACAACUAAUUGAUCACGACCAGUUAUAGAUUUCCCUGUUCCGUCUCCACUCCCCCUGCUUUACUAGGCUAGCUUAAA
Molecule: Y RNA, 102 nt
Filed under: Propithecus coquereli (Coquerel's sifaka)
Lineage: Eukaryota; Metazoa; Chordata; Mammalia; Primates; Indriidae
Description: Y RNA (ENSPCOG00000006928.1)
Rfam family: Y RNA
About the family: Y RNAs are components of the Ro ribonucleoprotein particle (Ro RNP), in association with Ro60 and La proteins. The Y RNAs and Ro60 and La proteins are well conserved, but the function of the Ro RNP is not known.
Source: Rfam by way of RNAcentral